UACGAAGGGGGCUAGCGUUGCUCGGAAUUACUGGGCGUAAAGGGCGCGUAGGCGGCACAGCAAGUCGGGAGUGAAAGCCCGGGGCUCAACCCCGGAACUGCUUUCGAAACUGCUGAGCUAGAGUACAGAAGGGGCAACCGGAAUUCCCAGUGUAGCGGUGAAAUGCGUAGAUACUGGGAAGAACACCUGAGGCGAAGGCGGGUUGCUGGGCUGAUACUGACGCUGAGGCGCGAAAGCCAGGGGAGCAAACGGG
Molecule: ribosomal RNA, 253 nt
Filed under: uncultured bacterium
Lineage: Bacteria
Description: partial 16S ribosomal RNA
Rfam family: Bacterial small subunit ribosomal RNA
Source: RNAcentral